Molecule: unclassified non-coding RNA, 2941 nt
Filed under: Hevea brasiliensis (rubber tree)
Lineage: Eukaryota; Viridiplantae; Streptophyta; Magnoliopsida; Malpighiales; Euphorbiaceae
Source: RNAcentral
AGGUUGGUGAUUGUAUUGGCAAUUUGUUUGGUUGAUGGUAAAAUUUGAGGGGAAAAGGAAAGAAAGAUUAAACUUUGCAUUUUUCAUGUUUUAGUAGUUUCUAUAGCAGUCAUAAAUGAGGUGACAAUGCUAUGGAUAUGCGAGAGUAGCGAUAGGAACAUAGGAAUAGAAUCAGUCUAUAGCUUAUUUCAGAAAAUGCAUUUAUCUUUUGUGGUAUUUAUGCAUUCUUGUUAGGUUUUAAUUCUUAUGGUGGAUUAUUUUCUGGCAUGCUGAGUGAGUGCUCUGCUGGUAGUUAUUGAAUUUAGAUGUUGUUCAUUGGUUGCAGCUGGUGGAACAGAAGAGUAAAGGAUUAUUGUUUGAAUAGAGAGGGAAGUUUGCUUGAGCUAAUUUGAGUUGUAUUUACUGUGGAAUGGACGAUGAAAAUGAUUUUACCUUUUGCCAGGUGGGUGUUACGGCCCAAGAUGGUAUCGAGGCAAAGAAGCUUGCUUCGGAUAUCGAUGGUAUGGCUAUAAAGGAUGAGUCCUCAAAUGGCACCAAUGGAAGCGAAAAUAGUGGUAGCCUUUGGAAAGAUAGAUUGCCAAAUAAUGCUUCUUCCAAGGAGGAAACUGUACGAUCUUUGUCCUUUAAUGUUAUUGAUACAGUAUCUCUAAAAAAAUCUAGUGAUUUGCCCAGACAAGUAGCAUCUACAGAUGUUGGAACUUCUGUUACAAAUUCGCAAAAACAAAAACCUGCUGCUAGGAAGCCUGCAGCUCGAGCAAAGGUUCCCUUUGAGAAGGGCUAUAGCCAAAUGGACUGGCUUAAGCUUACUCAAACCCAUCCUGAUCUUGCAGGUACUUAGUUACAGUUUUGUUGAUGAUCUUUCAUUAUUGAAUGUUUAACUUAUUGUUGCUUUGAUUCACAUAUAUUUUGCAACUCUUAUUAUUUUUUCCUUUUAUAAUCUUUUCUUUUUCUAUUACUGAAGCAUCAACAUUUUGUUUCUGUUCUAAGGAAAGUCUUGAACUUUGAUCUUUAGCUUGAUGGGUUGAAAUCUAGUAAAAUUCUUUUGGCUAUUGCAAAUGGUGUGAAAAAUCACGUGAAAAGCAUGCUCACACUUAGAGACUCUCCUCAGCCUCUAUUAAAUUGCCUUGGAUAUUAAUGAACAGAGUCCUUACAGAAUGCUGAUAGAUGAUAUUAUGAUAACUUGUUUAGUGGAAGUGUGAAAAAUCUAGUUCAUAUCAUUGUUGGAACAUGAAAAUAUGACUAUUUGUUUUAUAUUCAGGCUUUGAAUUUAUGUUGUCAACAUGUGUGCUUGCUUUUGCCUAUUUGCUUCCAUUUUCUAUGCAUGGCAAUGCAUACACGGUGAUGGUACACAUCCCAUUUUAUCUCAACUACUAAGAAAAAAAUUUAACAGAUGAAAGUUUGUACUGUACUGAGUAACUAUAAAAUUUGCCAAGUAUACAGUUUUGAAGGUCCCUUUGUGUGCUUAUAAUGACAUCCUAUAGUGUGAAUGGGUUAUAGAAUUUUUAAUAAUGCAUGCACUUGAAAAUUUCAUUUGUUUUUUUUGUUUGCUUGUUUGACUAGUUUCUAAAGUUUCAUUGUGCUUUCUAAUUUUUAUGAGUACAGGGCUGCUUUCCUAAUUCCUCAUUGUGUGAACUGUAUUGAUUUCUGUACUGGACAUUGUAAACAAGUAGAUUAAUAAUUGAUUGCAAUGUCAUUCAAUCGGCAAGUGGUAUUAUUCUACUUUUGCUCCGUGACUCUAACUUGUGUUUCAGGACUGAAGGGACAGUCAAAUAAGAGGCUUAUUUCAAUGAAUGAAGUUAAACAACACCAAAAUGAAGGUUCCAUGUGGACUGUUCUAAAAGGCCGUGUGUACAAUUUGUCUCCAUACAUGAAGUUUCAUCCUGGAGGUAUGAAUGUAAUAUUUUGCUGAUGCAUUUUCAGAUAUCUGGUAGAGCAAAAUUUGUGCAGUUUAAUAAAUUUUGUAUCAAUGGGUGUAAUGGUCAUUUCUGUAUGCUUUUGUGUAUGGUCCGCAAUAAGUUGAUUAGUGGUGCAUGGGCAACUAAGUGUGUGUUUCAUGCCACAAGUGAACUACGAAAAGAUACUUCAGUCCUGUGAGCAUCAUUUAUUCCAAGAGCUACUGCUAGUACAAUUAGAUUUGUUUCAUGCUAAGGCUAUAAACUUGCUGCCAGGUUUAAUGGCUUGAUUUGAGAAAUAUCUGUUUACAGGUGUUGAUAUGCUAAUGAAGGCUGUGGGAAAAGAUUGUACAUCUUUAUUUAGUAUCCUUUUCUGGGUUUGCCUUUGAUAUAUGUUUCUGGAGGUCAUAAUUAAAUCUGUUUAUUAGAUCCAUUAAUUAACAUUAAGUUACAUGCACAUCAAUAGGUCUUUCUCAUGUCAUGGUGAUAUGAAGAACGAAAAUGUAUGAUGAUCAAAGAUGAAAUUAUAUGCUCACCUAGGUGGUAGUUUUAUUUUUGAGGCUAUUUUUGGGUGAGAGGCCCCAAAAGAUGUAGUCAUAUUUUUGUCCCAUCAACAAACUUAGCCAUGGUGAAAACCAGAUCCCUUGGUAGGACUACCGUCAAUGAAUUAGCACCUGCUUGAGUAUUUAGCCUGAAUCUCCACACUCUGAGAUUUUGCUUUUAAAACUUUAAGGCAGAGAGAGAAAGAGAGAGAGAACAAAAGAAAACAAAUCGUUUUCUUUUUCACCCCUUCUAAAAUUAUUGAAAUUCAUAGGAUAAAUUGCAAUCCUUAGCUUCAUUUCAGACAAAUAUCAUGCUUGGGUGAAUGCAGAAUUUUUACUGGAGAAGUGUCUGGUGGGUAUUGUGGAUGGGAGCCGGUGAAGACAACUAUUGUAUUACAUUUAGUAAUUGAUUCAUUGUUCUCAUUUUCCAUACUAAGCUAAUCGGCCUCUGUCAUUCAUCCUUUUAUAAUGUAAAAGUUUUUCAAUAAAUAGAUGUAUGAAAUGAGA